GUUAAACAAUCUAUAGAAAUAGUCAUCUUCUGGUAUACGAAUCUCGUUGCAAUAUGGAUUCUUCAGAUGUGGAGGACGAGAACAACAUUCUUCUGGAUCAUUACGAUUUAGUGGAUCUAGAAAAGAGCGACCAUGGAAACAGAGACACCAAUUGCUCUCCUCGUAGAAUAAUCUUGUCGCAGUGAUCGUUCUCGCUUUCUCUAGUAGUUAUCCUUCUUUCGAUAUAAGGCAAAUAUAUUCGACAUGGAAGGGUUUAAAACCUACUGUGUUGCUACACGCGUACACCUGACUGACUUCUUAACGUCUAAUUGGAACACAAGGCUAUCACCAUGACAGUACCAGCGUGAUCGUGAUAUCCCUCAUCUGGAUGCAUCGUACGGGAUACUAUUCUAGACAAGGGUAAUUCUCGUCCACUUACGGCUAUCCUAGGUGCUGAUAUACCAUCGGAGAAUCGUGGUGGCAUCAAUCUAAAAGAAAAGAGAAACAGAAAAAACAAUUAAAAAACCACACGUAAAAAAAAGUAAUAUAUAUACCGGUAAGACAAAAAAGAUCUUUUUCAAAAGAAACAUCAAAAAACAAAAAAAUGAAUACUAGAUAUUAUUAUCGUAUAUGUUCACCUGGUGAACGGCGACAGAGUUGAACCCCAAGUUGGAUUUUGUAAAUUCGUACAGAGUC
This is a long non-coding RNA of Vespula vulgaris, 675 nucleotides long. RefSeq lists it as uncharacterized. The transcript has 3 exons. NCBI's taxonomy places the organism in Eukaryota, Metazoa, Arthropoda, Insecta, Hymenoptera, Vespidae. The record is from RefSeq and is a predicted model, not a curated record.